AGUGAACGCUGGCGGUAGGCCUAACACAUGCAAGUCGAACGGCAGCACAGUAAAAGCUUGCUCUUACGGGUGGCGAGUGGCGGACGGGUGAGGAAUACAUCUGAAUCUACUUUUUCGUGGGGGAUAACGUAGGGAAACUUACGCUAAUACCGCAUACGACCUACGGGUGAAAGCAGGGGAUCUUCGGACCUUGCGCGAUUGAAUGAGCCGAUGUCGGAUUAGCUAGUUGGCGGGGUAAAGGCCCACCAAGGCGACGAUCCGUAGCUGGUCUGAGAGGAUGAUCAGCCACACUGGAACUGAGACACGGUCCAGACUCCUACGGGAGGCAGCAGUGGGGAAUAUUGGACAAUGGGCGCAAGCCUGAUCCAGCCAUACCGCGUGGGUGAAGAAGGCCUUCGGGUUGUAAAGCCCUUUUGUUGGGAAAGAAAAGCAGCAGGUUAAUACCCCGCUGUUCUGACGGUACCCAAAGAAUAAGCACCGGCUAACUUCGUG
This 492-nucleotide ribosomal RNA is filed under the name uncultured bacterium. RNAcentral's name for it is "partial 16S ribosomal RNA". It matches the Rfam family "Bacterial small subunit ribosomal RNA", at positions 29 to 507 of the family's 1533-position model. The record is from RNAcentral.